GCAAAAUCAUAGAGCUCAACAUCUUCAUCCAGCCACACCUGCAAGGAGUGGACAGCAUUUCAAAGAAUUAGACACACAGCAACGAAAAAGAAAUACAACAAACCUUGAGUUUCAUUCGGGGGAAGAGGAAAAGGUCACAAAUCUGCGCACAGAGAUAAUAAUAAAGAUGAAGCACCUGGUUCUUGAUGCCGUCAUCUCCUGAGAGAUCUGUGGUGUUGAGCUGGAAAACCAGAAACUGGAAAAUUCUACCGUUGGUCCCCACUG
Molecule: long non-coding RNA, 264 nt
Organism: Lates calcarifer (barramundi perch)
Lineage: Eukaryota; Metazoa; Chordata; Actinopteri; Centropomidae
Exons: 2
Source: RefSeq, a predicted model, not a curated record